UACGUAGGGCGCAAGCGUUGUCCGGAAUUAUUGGGCGUAAAGAGCUCGUAGGCGGUCUGUUGCGUCCGCUGUGAAAACUCGGGGCUUAACCCCGAGCCUGCAGUGGAUACGGGCAGACUAGAGGUAGGUAGGGGAGAAUGGAAUUCCCGGUGUAGCGGUGAAAUGCGCAGAUAUCGGGAGGAACACCAGUAGCGAAGGCGGCUCGCUGGGCCAUUCCUGACGCUGAGACGCGAAAGCUAGGGGAGCGAACAGG
This 253-nucleotide ribosomal RNA is filed under the name uncultured bacterium. RNAcentral's name for it is "partial 16S ribosomal RNA". It matches the Rfam family "Bacterial small subunit ribosomal RNA", at positions 524 to 776 of the family's 1533-position model. The record is from RNAcentral.